Molecule: RNA transcript, 4300 nt
Organism: Malania oleifera
Lineage: Eukaryota; Viridiplantae; Streptophyta; Magnoliopsida; Santalales; Ximeniaceae
Exons: 16
Source: RefSeq, a predicted model, not a curated record
GAGCGGUGAAGCUCCAGACUCCAAGGCCGCCAACCUCCAUGGCCACACCUCCGUGGCUCCGUCUCUCUCACCCGCCCUCCACCACCUCCCUCUUCCCUUCUCUCGUUGCCCAGUGCGCCCUCCGCACCCCGCCUGCACCGUCGGCAACGACCGCACCACCGCCAGCACCGCCGGUCUCCUGUUUCCUCCCGAACCCUAAUCCAACCACACCAGCAGCCUCCUUGGCCUGCGCUCUCCAGUGCCCGCAUUUCCAAUCGUGCUCAGGGUGCUCUCAUGAGCUGAAUCUCCACCGUCCGGUCAUCCUCGACGAAGUUACUGACUUCUUCAAGAGCCACGGGGUCUCAGAUUUCACCUUCGAUACUUGCAGACUGUGGGGAUGGAGAUGCCGUGCCAAACUUGCUGUCCGUGGCUCACCUAUCAGCCCAUUAAUCGGGCUCUAUCAAGAGGGUACUCACAAUGUAGUGGAUAUUCCUCAAUGUAAAGCUCAUCAUCCUAACAUCAAUGUCGCUGUGGAACUCUUGAAGCAAGGCAUUACUAAGUUGAAUAUUGAACCAUACAAUGAAGAUGAAGGAACUGGUGAAUUGCGUUAUGUUCAGAUGGCUGUAACAACUCACAACACAUCCCUUCCUGCAUCUGAAAGAUAUAGAAAUGGUAAGGUACAGGUAACUUUGGUAUGGAAUUCAAGGAGUGAAAACUCAGCUAGUGCAGAAAAAUUAAACAAUUUGGCCAAUUUCUUAUGGAGAAAUGGAGGUCGGAGCAGAAAGUUCCAUUUAAUUCACUCUGUGUGGGCCAACUUUCAGACAUCAGCUAACAAUGUUAUUUUUGGGAAUAGGUGGAGACAUCUGAUUGGAGAAAGAGAUUUUUGGGAACAUGUUGGUGGAAUUGAUGUUUCAAUAGCUCCAUCCAGUUUUGGACAAGCGAAUACCAGGGCUUUUAAUUCCUUGCUGCGGAAGAUGCAAGAGUAUGUCCCACAAGGUGCAUCAGUUGCUGAUUUGUAUGCAGGAGCUGGUGUGAUUGGUUUAUCACUAGUUGCUAUGAGAAAAUGCAGGUCUAUUAAAUGCAUUGAGAUUAACAAAGAGUCAAAACUAUCUUUUGAGAAGACGGUUGAACGCUUGCCUAAAUCCAUAGAUAGCAGCAUUAGCUGGCAUCAUGCAGACACUUCAAUUGAACCUCUUUCUUGGCUUGUGGGAUCUGAUGUAGUUGUGGUUGAUCCUCCUAGAAAGGGGAUGGACCCAUCUCUCGUUAGUGCAUUACAGACUCUAUCUUCAGUGGAACAUAAGGUCAGGUCAUCUGAAAGUUCUUGCUUAAAUGUCAAAGAUGAAAAGAGACCAUGGGUUCUGCGUGCAAGAGAAGCUUUAGUUCGUGUUGCAAGCAAAACAAACCAGAAGGAAAGCUAUUCAUUGCCUGAAACCCUCAUUUAUAUAAGCUGUGGGUGGGAAAGCUUCAAAGAGGAUUGCAAGUCACUGCUGUCUAGUAAGGCAUGGCAUUUGGAUAAAGCCCAUGGCUUUAAUUUCUUUCCAGGCACUCAAAGCAUUGAGGUUUUGGCAGUAUUCAAGAGAGGCCCCGGAGUAAGGCUCAAGAAAAAGAAAUUGCGAAAAAGGAAGAAAAAGCCACAAUAAGGAAGCAUUUUACUCAUUGAUGCAGAAUGGAAGUUUAGUGAGAACCAAAUGGGACUCAACAGCUGGUUGUUUGAGGGCAUGAACAAAGAAGCCCAUAUUUGGGUUCAUUCAAGUUAGAUAGAAACUAUUGGAAAGAUGAGGAAAGGCACUCAAGAUGUUGCGGGCCCUCAAAUCUUGCCUGGUCAAUAUCCCCACCACUGGAAAAACCUACAAAAUUGAGCAUGCCAACAAGUUAAGUGACACUUGCCCUGUAAAAACUCUUAAUUUCUCACAAAAAUGCCCAUUUUAAUUAUCAUUCAUGCAAAAUUAAUGUUUCAUCAUACCCAAUUUUACUCUCCAUAUAACAAUUUCAUAAAUAUUGAAUUAUCUGAUCAUUAAAAAUUUUAAUUUUCUAAUGUAACAUUCUAGAAACAUCUAUAGUUAUCUUGUUAUGACAGCAUAAAGGUGAAGUGAAUGAGCAUGCUAUAAGUUGGAUAACUUACCCCAGCUGCUCCAUACUGAGGCAUGAUGAGCAGGUGGCGGAGUGCAGCCUGCCUGAAAAGCACCAUUGCCUUUGCGACGGACAUGCUCUCUGGCACUGUGUAAGGGGUGGUAUUGGUGAGAGGAUGCAAAUCAACAUACAUUUCCAUUUCAUCCUUUGUCACAGCCACUUCCUCAAUAUUUGUCUCCCUUUCAGCCAGAUCAACCCAGGUAAAUUUCUCUCUCACUUCCCACUCCUCUGUUCUCCUUCUUUCUUGCAGGAACCACUUCUUCUUAAGCACUGCAACAAGGUGAGCUCUGAGGACCAGGCCAUGCAGUUCUGCUGCACUAGUGACGAUCCCCAUAGAUGGCACCACCCUUUCAUCUAUAACAGGGAAACCAUUAUGUGUAGUAUUUUGCAGUACAUCCACAAUACGAGCCACCUUUUCCACUCCAUGAAGUGUAACUACAGCUGGCUUGGCAUCAGCAAGCUCACCGACCGUGAUAUUUCUCAUCCAUGGCUCUGGAUGUGCAUCCAAGAAAGGCAGGCCUUUAAGCUCUAGUAUAAUCUCAUAGAUGCUUGCGUUGAAGCAGUCUCCAACAGAUUUGGCAAUUAAAAGUACAAACAUUGUUAUGGGUAGUAAGAGAAGGUUGUUGGUGAGCUCGAGGAAUAUGACACAAAGAGAAACAGUCAUUCUCAUAGAGCCGGCCAUGAGUGAGGCUGCACCUAGAACUGCGUAAAGCCCCUGGUCAAUGUUUGUGUAGCUUCCCAUGGAAACACCAAGCAAACGACCGUAAGCAGAGCCCAUAAGUAUGAUAGGGAGGAAGAGUCCAGAUGGGACGGCAAUGCCAAAGGUGAAGAGUCCCAAUACACAAUAGAGUGUGAAGUAGAUUAAGAGGGAGAAAGGGUGGAAUUCAGUGGCACUGUUUGUGGAGAAGAUGUUUCGAACAGCAUCAUCGUUGGUGGAAAAAAGGAGAGUAGCUAGGUCAUUGUAAUAGCCAUCUGGGCAGUUGAAUUGUUUGAAGUUGCCAGUCUGUCCAUUGGUGGGGCAGGCAGACUCAGCAAGGGAUGAAUCACAGGGUGUGCAAGUGGCAAGAAAUGGGAGGCCAUACAGGCAAAGUGAGGUGAAUAGCGAGACAGUGAGACUCAGAAGCAGCUUGUGUAUUCUUCCCUUCCUGUAACAAAAACGAGUAAUUUGAAGCUGAGCAAUUGAGACUUCAUGCUUAUCAUUCCUAAGUGUUACUAAUUCUGGGUACAUGUUGGCAUUGUUCUUUGUUGAUCUCUGACUUGCUUCUAUGUUUAGCUGUCUGAGGCUACGGUGAACUUUCUCAUUCCCUUUCCAGGGCUUGUGAUGAAGUUAAUAAAGUGAAUCAAGAUUUUUGUGGAAUUAGAUUGCUUACUCGUUAAUGAGACUGUAGAGUCGGAGGACCUUGUGGAGAGUGUAGUUGUAAAGGCUUCCCAGUACUCCUCCAAGCACUCCAAUAACUGUCACAGGGACAAUAUCAGUCACAUGGUACCGUACAGUGACAUUACUCACAUCAAACAUGAUGAGCCCUCCUGUUCCAAAGAGCCCACAUUUCCCAGAAUUGCAGUAUUGCAUGAAGGCCCUGAGCACCACAACCACGACUGCUGUGCUGAAAAAGGUUCUCCACAGGAGUGCACUCCUCCACCACGUUGCAACCUCUUCAAGAGCAAACAGGAUGCCGCCCACUGGGGCACGGAAAGCUGCACAAACCCCUGAGGAAGCACCACAAGUGAUGAGAUCCCGGCGGUCACGAUCAUUGUUGAAGUAACGAAGCCAGCGCCAUUUGAGACGGUAAUUGUCAGGACCCCCUUGGCCUAGUAAGGAAGCAAUGCAGCUACCAAUGUGUACCAAAGGGCCUUCUUUUCCUAGAUCCAGGCCUGCAGAGACAGCUCCAAUGCUCCCAGUGAUCUACAAUUACCGAGAGAUUUCAAUGCUCUUUAGCCAUUAGCCAAUGAGCACAUUUGAAGUAUUCUUUAUCACAUGCCCAAUGUGUUUUAAGUCGAUGAAAAUUGUGUGACCUGUUCUGUCUGAUUUCUGUGCUAACUAGUCCAAUUCCAAAAAUGGUAAUUUAGGAUGUCUACAUAUGAUAUUGGUACAUAAUUAGUUGUUCUCUUUUCCUAUUUAGCACUUCUAAUUGCUUUUCCUUUCUUUUCCUUUUCUCAAUAAAAUAUAAACUUGAAAGUGGUAGCUUUUCUU